This 300-nucleotide ribosomal RNA is filed under the name uncultured Thalassomonas sp. RNAcentral's name for it is "bacterial SSU rRNA". It matches the Rfam family "Bacterial small subunit ribosomal RNA", at positions 114 to 417 of the family's 1533-position model. Lineage: Bacteria; Pseudomonadati; Pseudomonadota; Gammaproteobacteria; Alteromonadales; Colwelliaceae. The record is from RNAcentral.
UGCUUGGGAAUAUGCCAUAUGGUGGGGGACAACAGUUGGAAACGACUGCUAAUACCGCAUAAUGUCUACGGACCAAAGGAGGGGAUCUUCGGACCUUUCGCCAUUUGAUUAGCCCAAGUGAGAUUAGCUAGUUGGUAAGGUAAUGGCUUACCAAGGCGACGAUCUCUAGCUGGUUUGAGAGGAUGAUCAGCCACACUGGGACUGAGACACGGCCCAGACUCCUACGGGAGGCAGCAGUGGGGAAUAUUGCACAAUGGGGGAAACCCUGAUGCAGCCAUGCCGCGUGUGUGAAGAAGGCCU